Long non-coding RNA from Oreochromis niloticus (Nile tilapia), 279 nucleotides. RefSeq lists it as uncharacterized. The record is from RefSeq and is a predicted model, not a curated record. NCBI's taxonomy places the organism in Eukaryota, Metazoa, Chordata, Actinopteri, Cichliformes, Cichlidae. The transcript is spliced from 3 exons.
UCUCUCUGUCCUGUCUCCUUCUCGCCUGUGCGGAGCUCACUGUGGGCUUCCGCUUUUGGCCGACACACCUGCAAGCAGUUAAACACCUGCGGUGCCUCUCCAGUCACUAGGGCAGUGGCUACGCGCUUCUCGUCGCUUGAACGUUGAACUACUGAAAUUCCCUGCUCCCGUCCUUGAUUCUCCUCCCUGAUUUCCCCAGCAUCAGAAGUCGUGUACGGCAGCGCAAACAGUGUUACCAACUCCUCAGAGAGAGAAAGAACAUCGUGGACGACACAUACA